CUCCUCUGUCCGCUUCUCGUGGCUGAGGGAUGGGGCGCCCUCAGCGCCGCGGGGCUCCGUCCUCACAGCCCGGUAGAGAGCGAGCGGCGGGGCCCGGAGCCGCUGUGCCCCGUGCCGCCCCACAGGCGCCAGCCGGGAGCUCCGCGCAGGUCCCGGCCCCGCAGGCGCAGCCCGGGAGGGUGAAGGAAGCGGGGAGAGAACGCGGCGUACGGAACGCCGCACCGAGGGGGAUUUCUGAGCCAUAAAAGCGGCCCUGAGAGGAAUGCGGAUCUCCACGGCGAGCAGCGAGAACCACCUCAGGAGAGCGGAGCCAACCCCGGGCCCGAGCAGAGGGCACCCGCAGGCAAAGAGGAGCGCUCGAGACCUUUAAAGCCACCUCAGGGAGCGCUGCUGCGGGGUGCGGGCACAGAGAGCCCCCGGGAGGAGGGCGGUCCUCCAUCCACUCCUUCGGAAGACAUUUCUACGCCGUUAAUGUACCUCUGAAAACAUGCACCUGAGCUAACGGCGAUUCCCGAAACCAUUUCGUGUCAUUCACUGCAAAGAGAUGGCGGUAUUCAUUUCAGACUUCGAGAGCAAAGAAUAAAUUGUGCAGAGCGGGAGAAUCCAGGAGCAGAGAAACUGAGUUCAUGCAAAAAUGAGAGCACACAGCAGGUAUGCACAUGGUAAACUUCAUUUGAACUUGUUUACAAAAUUGACAAAAAAAAUCACCUUGUAAACUUAUUCACAUUUUUUGGAGCUCACAGAACUGGUUAUAGUAGCAUGCUGAAAUAAAGAUUGUCAAGCCUCGUCUCACCCCAGAUCACAUCCGAGUGAGCUGACCCUUACAGCAGAAACAAACCGGGUACGUGACAGGAGGUGAAGCUCGCGUUGUAAGCGAUGUCCCUGGAGAUUGUGCACCACCGGGGAGAGGGCCGAGUCCGGCACGUGGAGCUCCCUCAAGCAAAGUGAGCAUCAGCACGGGCAGUUUGCUGCGGAGAGCUGCAUGGAAUCUGAGAGCAGCGAUGGAACUCAGGACAUCACUCGACCUUUCGGGCCGUCAACUGCAGCAGAAAUAAAAUAAACAUUUCCCAACGUGAGCAACUUCUGAGCCCUCUACCAUCACAUCUGCCUUCCUGAGCUGCAAGACAGUAACUUUCUGCAACUCUACAACACACUGCCUGACCUCAUCAACUGCAGAAGGAUAAAAUGGAAGUAAACUGAAAAUAUACUUGGAAACAUUUUUGGUAACCACUUUUUUCUGGUUAGAUUUCACGCAGACGUCGGGUUUCAGAAACAGAAGCAAACAAACACCAGUAAGAUUUCUGAGAUAGCCACACAUUGCAAUCCCAGUCAAACCACAAAAGCAGGUUUUAACAAGAACGACUUAAAAAUAAACCCAAUGUUAUCAGUUGUAUUCCAUGGAAUAAACCAAAGCAACGUAGACCUGGUGAGGAACACUUCUAAAAUCACAAUUUGACAGUGAAGAGCUUUGCCUCUGCUCCCAAAGGCACAACUACUUUUACCACGGCUCUUCCACAGCAGUGAGACCCAGCACACAUGAGUUAACAGGACGAACACCACUGAACCUCACACUGUUUUUGGUAUCGUGUCCCCUCCCCCUCCACUCUGGACAGAAGUCCAACAGCGGGGACUGUAGAAAACAACUCGUCCCAAACGUUAAAGCAAUUACAGGUAAUAGAAAUUCUGAGCUUUCUAUACUGAAUUAGGCUGCGUUAGAAAUAUUUUUUAACAAUUAGGAAUAAUAUAUUACAAAAUUACUGAGAAAAGAUGAACUACAAUUUUUUAGACUUUGAGGUACAUUAACAGUAAUUGUGUCAUCAGUCUCUCACCCCUGGAUGCAACCAGAGUUAAAAGCAAUCCAACCUGUGUGACCGAAUACCACCAACACAUUUGGAAGACAUCUCUACAUCCCUAACAGCAGUGCCUGGCACUGCCGGGUGGGAUCCGCUGCGCCGCACGGCUCCGCUGGGUGCCGAUACUUCGUCUGAACUGAGCACAUUUUAAAAAAUAAAUUAGUUCAGUAUAAAUAAUUCACAAACUGCUUUGUGCAAAUUUUUUUUAUUUCCACAUUUAUAUCACAAUGUGUCCACUUAAAGGACCAAAUAGCAAAGUUGCUCCCUUCUGCAUCCCAGGAACACAGAAGUCUAGGUACUGUACAUUCACUAAGGCUCUUUGUUUUUGCAAAUUGCGUUUAUGAUGGAUAUCCAUAAGGCAAACAAUAUCUAAAGGAAUGGUAACAAGUAUAUUUCCAGCAUACAAACAGGCUUCCUUUUUCCCUCUCACAGUACAGUUACGAACUUGUAGCACCCUCGUUACAUUUAGAUUCUAGAAAAGGUGAUUUUUUUUUUUUCCUAGAAGUUUGCAGGAAGGGAAAAGGAGGAAAAAUAUUUGGCUGGUGGUGGUGGGAUCAAAAAUGUUGUUAAACAUCUCGUUUUUGCAGCAUUUCUCAGAGACUGGAUUUAAACUGAAACCAGACUGAAAUACGUGGAUGCCCAUGGAAUGUUGAGCUGAAGCUGGUCUCCCAGCCUGCAGUGCAACACCUGCUGUUUAAAACCCAAUCUCCGUACCACAUGACUUUAAAAACACAAUCAUGUUCAGAGAUGCGAUACAAAUAAAACUACAGUUUUUGCA
Molecule: long non-coding RNA, 2631 nt
Organism: Gallus gallus (chicken)
Lineage: Eukaryota; Metazoa; Chordata; Aves; Galliformes; Phasianidae
Exons: 2
Source: RefSeq, a predicted model, not a curated record